AAAAUAAAUCUGGCACAACACAAACUGCUGUUUAACACUCUUGAGCAUGAAACAUGCACACAAGUGAUGCAUGUUUUAUCAUUUUACAGAAUGAAGAUUUGCACAAGUAUGAUACAAAAUGUAGUCUUUCCUUUAAUAGUGUUCACCAAGCACAGACCACCACAUCAGCCAAAGCUCACUGUCAGAGAUGCACAUUUGCUACCCCUAUCCCAUUUCUUCAGAAGAAAAAUACCAUGCUUGAAUCACUCUUCCACCUUCACAUUACAUUUUUCACAGGAGAAAAAGCUCAGCAAAAAUUACUGCCAAAUUAUGAGUUCUGAUCAAGAUGCAAAUGGAGCAAAAAAGAUUGUUCCUCCGGGCCAUGAAGAGUUAAGAGAAAGACAGUCUUGGAAAAACCACCACAGAUGAGCAGAGCAUGUAAGAAAUGCUGCACAGGAUGGAUACAGCAGUCUGGAGAACAAAGAGACCUGAAGGCUCCCACAAUGAGGAAGGAAACCACAGUACUGCUCCAUUAGCCACUAAAGACAGAUGCUGUGCAGCAAACCAAGGACCAUGUGUUAUCUCUGAUAUCAGUUUAUAGCACAAUUUACCAUGCUAAUGCUUCCUAUAAAAACGGAAAUUGGGCACUUCUCCAAAACAGCACAUAAUGCAAACAUAACCUGACAAUGUUUUCAAUAGCUCCAACUAGACUCUGACUUUCUCCCUUUCUCUCUCUAGAGAAUGAUCUUUAGUGAUCUUCAUACACACUCUUCAGAUUUUAAUCUACAGGAAGUGUAAAAUGAAAAUAAGUCUGGAGAUUGCCUGUGGAGAUUUAAAAGAAAACCACAAUUCUUUAUAAGUAUUUUUGGAAGAGUAAAUCUGCAUUUAUUCAUACUGGGUGAAAUAGACAGCUGGCACUUUCUGAUUCCAAGACCAACAGAUCCCAUGGAUUUUUCUGGCUGAAAAGAAGUUAAUACUCCAGAAGUGGAAACCUACAUAGAUCCCAACAAUGAAACUUGUAUCAGAGAAGUGAAAAGAUUUUAAGUAUACUGUGAGUUUGGCUGGCAGAUUCUGAGUUCAUUUAACCAAUUGACAUCAGGUUAGUAAGCAUGUAAACAAACAUUUCAGAUUGGUUAUCUGAGAUCAAAAUUUGCCCUCCUGACAUCUGAUUAGACAAGAAUUUUUCCUCCUUUCCACAUACAGCUACUUGUUGUCUUAUGUUAUUUUAUAUGCUGGAUGCUCAUCUUCUCAAUAGUAAUUUUCAGAGGUUUUUACUUCGGAAGGAUACUUGUCCUUAGCAAUAGAUUUUGAAACACUUUGAGAAAGAAAUUCUGUAAAAAAAAUAUGUGCUUUCCCAAUAAUGACUUUCCUUAAGAAAACCCAACUCUACAGUAAUAGUACCCUUCGAUUAUAAAGUGACUUGUUCUUUAAUAAGAUUCAGAAUGUGACUGAAAUCUACAUAAUUUCUCAUUUUCUCAUCCUCUCUCUCCAUCUGUUAGCCUCUUGUCUCCUGAAGGACAAUAUCUUUGCCUUAUAUGAAGACUGCCUAAACUUCUGUAACUUAGUUGGGAAUUGCUAGGUGCUAUGUAAUAUCAAAUAAAAUUAUUAUCAUGCAA
This is a non-coding RNA of Taeniopygia guttata (zebra finch), 1595 nucleotides long. NCBI's taxonomy places the organism in Eukaryota, Metazoa, Chordata, Aves, Passeriformes, Estrildidae. The record is from RefSeq and is a predicted model, not a curated record.